This 468-nucleotide ribosomal RNA is filed under the name uncultured bacterium. RNAcentral describes it as "partial 16S ribosomal RNA". It matches the Rfam family "Bacterial small subunit ribosomal RNA", at positions 28 to 507 of the family's 1533-position model. The record is from RNAcentral.
GACGAACGCUGGCGGCGUGCUUAACACAUGCAAGUCGAACGGAAAGGCCCUGCUUUUGUGGGGUGCUCGAGUUGCGAACGGGUGAGUAACACGUGAGUAACCUGCCCUUGACUUUGGGAUAACUUCAGGAAACUGGGGCUAAUACCGGAUAGGAGCUCCCGCUGCAUGGUGGGGGUUGGAAAGUUUCGGCGGUUGGGGAUGGACUCGCGGCUUAUCAGCUUGUUGGUGGGGUAGUGGCUUACCAAGGCUUUGACGGGUAGCCGGCCUGAGAGGGUGACCGGCCACAUUGGGACUGAGAUACGGCCCAGACUCCUACGGGAGGCAGCAGUGGGGAAUAUUGCACAAUGGGCGGAAGCCUGAUGCAGCAACGCCGCGUGCGGGAUGACGGCCUUCGGGUUGUAAACCGCUUUCGCCUGUGACGAAGCGUGAGUGACGGUAAUGGGUAAAGAAGCACCGGCUAACUACGUG